Molecule: long non-coding RNA, 934 nt
Organism: Tachyglossus aculeatus (Australian echidna)
Lineage: Eukaryota; Metazoa; Chordata; Mammalia; Monotremata; Tachyglossidae
Exons: 6
Source: RefSeq, a predicted model, not a curated record
CAGAGAGUCCUGCAGUCUCCACCAGCCCGAGACCCUUAAAACACAAUGUUGUGAGAAAAAAAAAGCACAACGGGAUGGUGUUUUGGGAUUCAUCAAGAAAGUCAGUUAAUCUCUCAGUGGGCCUACUGAAUAAUGAGAAGGACAAAGAGGAAAGUAUACAGCUACUGAGACUUAAAAAAAUGCACUUUGGUGUCUUGAUGUGGAUAUUUCAGCCCUCCGAGCCCUAGCACCCCAGCAAUUUGGUCACUUGCCCAAGGCAAGUAAUGGUGGCUUCCAGGCGAACAGUAAAGAAAAGCCGGAAGGUAUCUCUAUGCUAUGCAGACGAUUAGUGUGCGUAACCAGAAAGUGGCGUUAAAUUAAACUCCAGUUUGGCACAGCAAAUCGAAUCGCCGGCGCCAACCUCAUGCCGGCAGUCUUUGGGGGAUGUGUGCUCAAAGGAGAGGUCAGUGUCCUCCAGCAAAGCACCCCAGCAUGAGGUGAGGAGCUAAUGGACCAGAUGGCAUGAGCACUUUGGUGACGGGAAAAGAUGGAUGACAGGAAUGCACCAAGAUGGAAAUCAUCUUUCCAAAUCCUCACCCCACCCCCGGCUCCGUCUAAAAGAAGGCAGCAUGUCGUAAAAUAAAGAGCAUGAGCAAAUUCCCUUAGACAAAGCAUUCGUCAGAUGAACGAAAGAAGGGAAGGUGUACAUACCGUCUGCCCGUCUCUUCUCUUUACCAGGGAACAAAGAAGAGCCCUUCAGUAAUCCAGUUGUGCAUUCCUUGAUCUAUAAAGGCAUCUCAGAAUGGUGGUUUUUCAAUACAAACGCAGAGGGAAACUGUUUUCUUGUCUUAGUAAAGUGUGGCUGCAUGGGUCACCCACAAAAACGCCUCCCCACAAUCGCAGAGUGGCUCUUUUGUUUGGGAAAUGAUGGUAGUUAUUUGUAUUCUGCUAAGGC